AUUGAACGCUGGCGGAAUGCUUUACACAUGCAAGUCGAACGGCAGCACGGACUUCGGUCUGGUGGCGAGUGGCGAACGGGUGAGUAAUACAUCGGAACGUGCCCAGUCGGGGGGGAUAACGUAGCGAAAGCUACGCUAAUACCGCAUACGCUCUAAGGAUGAAAGCGGGGGAUGGCAAGGCCUCGCGCGAUAGGAGCGGCCGAUGGCAGAUUAGGUAGUUGGUAGGGUAAAGGCCUACCAAGCCGACGAUCUGUAGCUGGUCUGAGAGGAUGAUCAGCCACACUGGGACUGAGACACGGCCCAGACUCCUACGGGAGGCAGCAGUGGGGAAUUUUGGACAAUGGGCGCAAGCCUGAUCCAGCCAUUCCGCGUGCAGGAUGAAGGCCUUCGGGUUGUAACCUGCUUUUGUACAGAACGAAAAGGCUCUGGUUAAUACCCGGGGCUCAUGACGGUACUGUAAGAAUAAGCACCGGCUACCUACGUGCCAGCCGCCGCCGUAA
This 500-nucleotide ribosomal RNA is filed under the name uncultured bacterium. RNAcentral describes it as "partial 16S ribosomal RNA". It matches the Rfam family "Bacterial small subunit ribosomal RNA", at positions 30 to 523 of the family's 1533-position model. The record is from RNAcentral.